Molecule: ribosomal RNA, 497 nt
Filed under: uncultured bacterium
Lineage: Bacteria
Description: partial 16S ribosomal RNA
Rfam family: Bacterial small subunit ribosomal RNA
Source: RNAcentral
GUUGAACGCUGGCGGCGUGCCUAAUACAUGCAAGUCGAGCGAACAGACGAGGAGCUUGCUCCUCUGACGUUAGCGGCGGACGGGUGAGUAACACGUGGAUAACCUACCUAUAAGACUGGGAUAACUUCGGGAAACCGGAGCUAAUACCGGAUAAUAUAUUGAACCGCAUGGUUCAAUAGUGAAAGACGGUUUUGCUGUCACUUAUAGAUGGAUCCGCGCCGCAUUAGCUAGUUGGUAAGGUAACGGCUUACCAAGGCGAUGAUGCGUAGCCGACCUGAGAGGGUGAUCGGCCACACUGGAACUGAGACACGGUCCAGACUCCUACGGGAGGCAGCAGUAGGGAAUCUUCCGCAAUGGGCGAAAGCCUGAUGGAGCCACGCCGCGUGAGUGAUGAAGGUCUUCGGAUCGUAAAACUCUGUUAGUAGGGAGGAACAAAUGUGUAAGUAACUAUUCACGUCUUGACGGUACCUAAUCAGAAAGCCACGGCUAACUACGUG